Molecule: RNA transcript, 1554 nt
Organism: Carassius carassius (crucian carp)
Lineage: Eukaryota; Metazoa; Chordata; Actinopteri; Cypriniformes; Cyprinidae
Gene name: KH domain-containing, RNA-binding, signal transduction-associated protein 1-like
Exons: 11
Source: RefSeq, a predicted model, not a curated record
GAGCGACAUGGAUGCUAAUAACGGCAACGCUAAGCGUAAGAACAGCGCCGGAGACAGUAAAUAUCUGCCGGAGUUACUUGCGGAGAAAGACAGUCUGGACUCCUCGUUCACGCACGCCAUGAAGCUGCUCUCUGCAGAGAUUGAAAGGGUCCAGAAAGGUGAGCCCAAAAAAGAGUCCGAGACGUAUCUGGAUCUGUUCACCGCCAAGAACGUGAGGGUGAAAGAAAGAGUGCUCAUUCCUGUAAAGCAAUACCCUCGAUUCAAUUUUGUGGGAAAGAUUCUGGGGCCGCAGGGCAGCACCAUCAAACGCCUGCAGGAGGAUACCGGUGCAAAGAUCUCCGUGCUGGGCAAAGGAUCCAUGAGAGAUAAGAACAAGGAAGAGGAGCUGAGGAAGGGUGGAGAUCUGAAGUAUGCACACCUGACCAUGGAGCUACACGUGCACAUUGAGGUUUUUGCACCAAUUCCUGAUUGCUACCUGCGUAUGGCUCAUGCAAUGGAUGAGGUCAAGAAGUUCCUAAUGCCUGUGGAAGGGCUUGAUGAGAUGCACCCGGAUGCAUUCAUGGAUCCAGGGUUUCUGAAUGGCUCUCAGGAUAUUCAUGGCCCUGGCAGAGGUCUCCCUCAUGGCCGAGGUCGUGGAGGCCCACCACCCCCAAUGGGACCUAGGGGUCGAGGCAUGCCGCCUCGCGGAGCACCCCGUGGAGGAGCGCCUAGAGGAGGUCCAGGGCGUGGAGCUGCAGCGAGGGGAGCCCCCGCAGGAAGAGGUGGUCCUCCGUCCCAAACACCAGCCAGAGGAGGCACAGGAGCCACCCGCUCAAGACCACCAGCCUCUGCUCAGAGGAUGACACCAGCCACCGCUCUCUCCCACCAACAGCACCCAGCCAAACCUGAAACCUAUGGCGAAUAUGCAUAUGAAGAACCAUAUGCAGAGCCUUCCUAUGAAGGGUAUGAGAGCUACUACAGUCAGCCUGCUCCACAGCAAGACACAGAGUAUUAUGAUUACGGUCAUGGAGAGGCACAAGAAACUUACGAGUCUUACACUGAAGAUGACUGGGAGGGCGGAGCUUGGGGCGGCGCCGGUGGAAAGGCUCCGACUUCUCGACAGGGCAAAUCGUUUCGGGAGCAUCCAUACGGCAGAUUCUGAGAGUUGUCCUUCACUACGGUUGCCUGGCAACUUCCUCCCCUCGUAACCUCUUGUAACCACCUAAAUGACCGCUGCCGAGAGGUUCUUUCCAGGCUGGCUUUACCAGGCAGCUGCUACAGGCUUUUGGUGCCCUUUUGUCCCGAAGAGGAAAAGGAGAGUGCCUUUUUAUACAAUCACUUGUGACACAGGAAUGUUUUAUUUUUUUUUUGUGUCUUUUUAAAUUAUUAUCGUUACUUUUUAUACAUCCACUUUUUUGGAUCCCAAUAAAAGAUUUUAACAGUUUUGACUUUUGUGUUACUAAAUGUUUCCAAAGUAAUUGGUAUUGCAGAAGUGUGCACAAGAAUGCUUUAAGUGAAGAGCUUAUUUGGCUGUUGUAAUCUAAAUUUAGGGACUUCAAAAAAAAAUAGAAAAAU